Molecule: ribosomal RNA, 253 nt
Filed under: uncultured bacterium
Lineage: Bacteria
Description: partial 16S ribosomal RNA
Rfam family: Bacterial small subunit ribosomal RNA
Source: RNAcentral
UACGUAGGGGGCGAGCGUUGUCCGGAAUCAUUGGGCGUAAAGCGCGUGUAGGCGGCUCGAUAAGUCCGGUGUGAAACCUUGGGGCUCAACCCCAAGCCUGCACUGGAUACUGCCGAGCUAGAGUCCGGGAGGGGAGAGCGGAAUUCCUAGUGUAGCGGUGAAAUGCGCAGAUAUCAGGAGGAACACCAGCGGCGAAGGCGGCGCUCUGGGCCGGAACUGACGCUGAGGAGCGAAAGCGUGGGGAGCGAACAGG